This 29-nucleotide non-coding RNA is filed under the name Rattus norvegicus (Norway rat). Lineage: Eukaryota; Metazoa; Chordata; Mammalia; Rodentia; Muridae. The record is from RNAcentral.
CUCGCAGAAAACGUACUGGCUUUACGUCU